UGCCCCCCCGGCCGUAGUGCUCGUCCCUGGGGGUGCCGCCCGGCCGGGCGGGAGCGAAAGGCCGGACUGCGGGCGAUUUCUCUGCGUCAAAAUUUCACCAGGGUGAAAGUGCAUCAGUUGUGAUUGCACUUUGUAGAGGAAUGCAAGCUUCAAAGACUGAAAAUAGAGGAAAAGCAGGACCAUUCUACUGGCUGUCAGCAGCAAAGCCUAAGACAAGUUCUGAGAUUGUAAAUGAAGCCAGAGAUGCUCUUGUAAAUGAAGCCAGAGAUGCUCUACGAACAGUAAAAACUCGAAGACCAUUCACACCUACAGAUGAACAAAGGAAACUUCUUGGGUCCCAGUCCUCACUAUGUCCUCAAAAUAGACCCCCUUCAGUUUUUAGUCUUGAUACAUUCAGUUCUGACUCGUCUGAAUCAAGACCACAUUCUGGUGUUCGUCUAAGCCCACUGGCUCAUAAACCAGUACUAGUAAUUUCUGAAAAAAAACAUGAAGUUGCUUCUGUUUUCCUUCCAACACCUCCUGCUGAUGCUGCAGAGGUUAGAAAAGUCAGCAGUGCUUGGAAAGGCUUAUUUAGAAUAACUUCGCCAAAAGAUUUAUUUUCUGCUAAAGUGGUUCCUCUGGAUCAGAAUGACGUGAAGCUAAAUUUUGAAGAGCCAGCUAUGAUGGUGAAUGAUCUUGACAGAAGUAAUAAUAACUGCUUAGCAGAACAAAAGUUGUACACAUCAUUUAAUGAUGAGAGUAGACAGGUAAUUUGUAAUGAGCAUACCAGCAGAUCAGGAAGUGGCGAAUCCAUGGAAGGGACACCAGUAAAAUUUUCACUUCAGCUGCAAGGAGAAAGAAGUGUCAACAGUGAUGGCAGAUUUGCUGAUGAAGAGCAACAGUUUCCCUGUAACCAGAUGAAAGAGCCUGGCAAAAUGUCAUCACAGCCAAGGACUUCACGCUGGAAGAGAAGAGUUACAGGUUUAAAGGAUGAAACAAGAAUAAAUGGAUGGGAAGAGGAAGAUCUCUUUUGGCAUACAAAGAUUCUACCAAUCCUGCGUGAACUAGAAAAAAAAGACAAUAUAGAACACCUUUGUCUAGCUUGUACCAAGCUCUAUCAAACCUUGGAUGAAGGAAAUAUGCUUGGGAAAAGAUUUAAAAGAAGAAACGUCCUUCUGAAGACAUUAUAUAAACUUGUAGACAUUGAUUCAGAUCCACUUUCCCUGAAGCUGGCAAAGAUUAUUCUGGCUAUGAAAGUAGAUGGAAAAAAUCUUCUUAGUGUUUGCAAGCUAGCAUUUAAAAUUUGUAGGAACAAAAAAAACUAUUUCAUCAUUCAAAAUGAUACAUUAUUGGAUUACUUGUUGCAGGUUCUGUGGGAUGAAGAUCUACAAACAAACAAUGAAGCUCUCAUCUAUUGCAUGGCAGCUAUAAAAUUCAUGUCUGAAAAUGCAGAACUCCGUUUUAAAAUGGUCAGCAAAGGAGCUGUUGAAAUGUUUCUGGAAUUAAUGAAGCAGAUUAAUAACAUAAAAGAACAUGACACAUAUUUCGCCAAGUUGGGCCACUUAUUAGUCCAGCUGGCAGCCACUCUGCGGAUCCUGGCUGACUGCCCCACGGCCCGGCGCCGGCUCAGCGACAGCGCUGCCAUCCCCGAGCUCUGCGUGGCGCUGGAGCAGCGCAGCAGCGACAAGGAUUUGUGUCUCUGCAUCGUCAGGAUCCUCAGCAAACUUUCUACCUACAGUGACUUCUGUGCAGCUUUAGCAGACUGCUCCAGAUGUUACAUCUUAUUUUUAGCCCUACUAAACAAAUACCAGAAGCAGCAGGAUUUGGUUAUCCGUGUCAUCUUCAUUCUUGGCAAUUUAACAGCAAAGAACGACCAAUCCCGGGAGCAAUUUUUUAAAGAAAAAGAAAGUGUUAACAUCUUGACAUCAGUAUUCCAAACCUACUAUGAUCUUGAUUUGAACGCACCAACAGGGCACCGUGAUAGAAAAGGAAAAAACCACCUAAAGCAUCCUUCAGAAGCAGAAGAUGUUCUGAUAAAACUGAUAAGAGUGCUGGCCAACCUCUCCAUUCACCCUAAAGUAGGCGCAGCUCUGGCAGCUGCCCAUCCUGUUGUAGGAUUACUUGUUGGAGUACUGGAAUACAAGUCAGUCGAUGCCUGUGAAGAGCUGGUCAUCAAUGCUGCAACAGCAAUCAACAAUUUGUCCUACUACCAAGUGAAGAAUUCUGCAGUUCAAGACAAGAAGCUACACAUUGCUGAAAUGCUUUUAAAGCUGUUAAUGAGUGACAAUAUGGAUGCAGUUCUGGAGGCUGUCAGAGUCUUUGGCAAUCUUUCCCAGCAUCAUGAGAUCCGUGACUUCAUCAUGCAGAAAAAGAUAUACAAGUUCAUGAUUGCUUUGCUGGAUUCCAAGAACCGAGAGGUCUGUUUUCCUGCCUGUGGAGUUCUGCUCAAUCUCACCGUAGAUGAGGACAAACGAGCUUUUCUGAUGGAAGAAGGAGGAAUUGGAAAGUUGGUUGACUGCUUACAAGACUUUGGGCCAGCAGACUGGCAGCUCUCGUGUUUGAUCUGCAAAACCCUGUGGAACUACAGCGAGAGCAUGAGGAGCGCGGCCUCCUGCUUCAGAGGAGACACCAACACGCUGCUGGUGCUGCUCACAGCGCUUCUAGAUGAAGAGGUAGAGUUGGAAUGCAGCCUUGACAGAGAUAUAAAGGACUGCCAAAGAGUUUAUUGGGAAAGAGAGUUCAAACCCGUGGCAGAAAAACUUCUUGACAGAAUUCAAAGCCAUCACUCUUCAGCUGAGUCUAUCACUCCAUUUUAAUCAGUCGAGAGUUUUUUUGUCAGCUGAAGUUGAAGGGAAGAUAAAUGGCUGCAAUGUCCCAUUUGUAGCUGGGAGAAAAGAAUGGAUUUGCUUUGAGAGUACUAAAGAAAGGAUGAUGGCAUUGACUUAAGGCAAGGCCAAGAAAUACCUUUCCAAAGAAAAACUGAAGAACGUAAACUUAGUGAUUCAAUAUCUGGGAGUUAACAGCAGGAAAUGUGACUGGAAGGUGCAAUUCAGACUGUAAGCCAGCAGCAGAGCUUUUAGCCUUUAACAAAGGAACUACUUUGGGGCUAUCCAUGCCAGAAGGACUGGGGACUGGAAAGACCUUGGGCCAGCCAGAGAGCUGUUCCAGGUCUGCUGCCAAGGGAUGGAUGGAUCUUGCACCACUUCCCUGCCUCUCCAGGAUACAGGCAAGCAGCUGAGGUGAAGCUCUACCAUUCUCAUGUCUAACCCCCUGUACUGCUCAGAGCUUGCCCAGUCCAUGUCAGCUGUUAGCCAGUACACAGGCAGGAGGAAAGGGGAGAUUAUUUCAGCCUGGAAGCAUGACACUUCCCAAUGACUUGACUGUGAGCAGAACCUCAGGAGCAUCAGCUAAAGCUUAAGCUGUGUGGCUGUGUCUGUCAGGGAGACACUGAUCUGGGGCCCGUGGCUAUCCCUCAGCAUGCACACCAA
This is an RNA transcript of Cyanistes caeruleus (blue tit), 3467 nucleotides long. It is a transcript of the gene named armadillo repeat containing 2, with no coding region annotated. The record is from RefSeq and is a predicted model, not a curated record. NCBI's taxonomy places the organism in Eukaryota, Metazoa, Chordata, Aves, Passeriformes, Paridae.